UGACUGCUGACUUCUUACCCAAGUCCCUUGGUAAGCUGUGGACACCAUAGUUUAAGAAGGUUAAGAAGAACUUAAAAUGGAGAGUCCCUUGAAUGAUUCAAAUGUGGAAAAAGAAAACCUGUGAGAAAAGAUAAAGGUAUUGCUAUU
This 147-nucleotide long non-coding RNA is filed under the name Ursus thibetanus thibetanus. Its description in RNAcentral is "lncRNA (ENSUTTG00000001088.1)". Lineage: Eukaryota; Metazoa; Chordata; Mammalia; Carnivora; Ursidae. The record is from RNAcentral.